This 2969-nucleotide long non-coding RNA is filed under the name Octopus vulgaris (common octopus). The record is from RNAcentral. Lineage: Eukaryota; Metazoa; Mollusca; Cephalopoda; Octopoda; Octopodidae.
AAAAUAGAUUCAUUUCUAUAUUUAUCUAUCAAUCAAUAUUUUCUUGUUGAGGAAAGCUUUUAAACAUUUUUACCAUUAACCCCACCAAUUAAUUAAUUCUGUGCUUUUAAUUAACUAAUUUCUUGAUAUCUGAUCGCUAACCCCCAUUACACAUUGUUACGGCAUAAAUAUUAUAAUUAUGAAUAUUUUUCUAUCGUCCAAAAAAAUCACAUCUUUACAAAAAGUAUGAAUGGUGUUUUUGGUUUUCUCAUAAAAAUCUCAGGUUUCAAACUUUUGUAGGAAACAAUUUAUUUCAUUUUUUUCUGAGUAUUUUUUUUCCAUUUCUCUUUUAUACAUUAUUUAUUUAUUUAUUUAUUAAUGACCUCAGAAAUCAUGUUAAAUACACUAAUUUCAUACAUAACACGACACUCCUUACCUGGGUUAUGAACCCACAUUUGUGCUUACCUGUGGGUGGAAUGGAUGAGUACAGACCCCUAGUCUAUGUUUUUAAUGGCAGUUGCUACACUCACACACACACACACACGCACACACACACACACACAAUUUCAAACAUCAUGGAAUUGUCUGGAAAAUUGCAAUGAAAUCCUGAUUCCUUCUCUCGUCUCAAACAGAUCCUAAAGCUGUCUUUCAUUGCUCAUAUCAGCCAAAUUGAUGAGAUGUCACAAUCACACUGGACAAGACCCUAGUCUCCCCCUACAAUUGACCUCACUGACAUCCCGGUAUUUGUAGUCUUGUCUUAAACUAUAGUUUAUCUGCUUUACUCAAUUUCACAAUGCAAUAUUUGUUGUAGAAGAACUGGAACUUGUCAGUGAACCAUUUACCAAGAAAUCUUUAAUUCAUUCUCUCUUGGAAAUUGUGGCCAAACUUCUGCUACAGAAUCAAUGAAUUUUGCUAAUUUGUUGUUGAUAUCUAGAAAAUUGCAGAUAAAGUUAACUUAGACCCUGACUGUUCUGGAUUCUGUAGACAUCACAUCUUUGUCUUUAAUAAAAUGCAGUUGGUGACCAGCUGGCAGAAACGUUAGCACAUCGGGUGAAAUACUUAGCAGUAUUUUGUCUGCCGUUACGUUCUGAGUUCAAAUUCUGCCGAGGUUGACUUUACCUUUCAUACUUUCGGGGUUGAUAAAUUAAGUACCAGUUACGCACUGGGGUCGAUAUAAUUGACUUAAUCCCUUUGUCUGUCCUUGUUUGUCCCCUCUGUGUGUAGCCCCUUGUGGUACAAAUCUGGCUGUGUGAUUAAGAAGAUCUUUUUGUGACCACAUGGUCUUGGGUUCAGUCCCACUGUGUGUCACCUUGGGCAAGUGUCUUCUUCUAUAGCCUUGGGCCAACUAAUGCUUUGCAAGUGAAUUUGGCUCACAGAAACUCUGUGGAAGCAUGGCAACAGUUCAAUGACCAAAACUAGUAAAAGAUCAAAGAUAAUGGUUAGAGUUGUUUUGAUUAAUUCCGUCCACCCUGAAUUUAUUUGGGGCCAUACUGGACAGCAGUAUUGAGAAAUUAUUUUGACAUUUUCCGGUUCUGUUUUCAAAUUCUGCAGGACUGACUGAUACAAUAUUUCAAGUUGACUUGAUGUCUGAAGGUUCAAAUCUUUGUAUUUCCAUCCAAAUUACAAAAAAAAAACCACUUAAAUUUCAAUAGUUUUAAACAUUUCUUUUUAAACGUACACCAAGGAGAGACAUAAUUUACUGUGACCAGUGGUGGGAGCACUGGUAUUCUGUUGGAUUGCAGUGUGUGUUGUUUAGGAAAGAAACCCUCCAAAAGUUAAUAGGGCUGAUCACCCAUUGAUGGAUACCUUAUCACCUAUCUCUAUAUAAAAGCUUCUUGUAUGUUGACACAUCAGAUCUCUCUUUGACACAUCAGAAUCAUUUGCACAACCAAACUGAGUGGUAUUUCUUCUGGCGCUUUAUGUUCUGAGUUCAAAUUCUGCCAAGGUUGACUUUGCCCUUCAUCCUUUCAAGGUCGAUCAAAUAAAGUAUCACUCAAAUAAAGUAUCACUCAAAUAUAGUAUCCCUCAAAUAAAGUAUCACUCAAAUAUAGUAUCCCUCAAAUAAAGUAUCCCUCAAAUAAAGUAUCCCUCAAAUAAAGUAUCACUCAAAUAAGGUAUCCCUCAAAUAAAGUAUCCCUCAAAUAAAGUAUCACUCAAAUAAGGUAUACCUCAAAUAUAGUAUCCCUCAAAUAAAGUAUCACUCAAAUAAGGUAUCACUCAAAUAUAGUAUCCCUCAAAUAAAGUAUCACUCAAAUAAAGUAUCACUCAAAUAAGGUAUCACUCAAAUAUAGUAUCCCUCAAAUAAAGUAUCACUCAAAUAAGGUAUACCUCAAAUAAAGUAUCCCUCAAAUAAAGUAUCACUCAAAUAAAGUAUCACUCAAAUAAGGUAUCACUCAAAUAUAGUAUCCCUCAAAUAAAGUAUCCCUCAAAUAAGGUAUCCCUCAAAUAAAGUAUCCCUCAAAUAAAGUAUCACUCAAAUAAAGUAUCACUCAAAUAAAGCAUCCCUGCAAUAAAGUAUCACUCAAAUAAAGCAUCCCUGCAAUAAAGUAUCACUCAAAUAAAGCAUCACUCAAAUAAAGUAUCACUCAAGUAUUGAACUCAAUGUACCUCCCCCUUGCACCUCCCCCUCAAAAUUGCUGGACUCGUGCCUCAAUUUGAAACAAUUAUUACAUCAUCAUUCAUAUUAUUAUUAUUAUUAAUAUUAUUAUUAUUAUUAUUAUUAUUAUUAUUAUUAUUAUUAUUAUUAUUAUUACUAAGGCGGUGAGCUGGCAGAAUCAUUAGCGAACUGGUCAAAAUGCUUAGUGGUAGUUUGCCCGUCACUACGUUCUGAGUUCAAAUUCUGCCAAGGCCAACUUUGCCUUUCAUCCUUUCAGGGUCGAUAAAAUAAGUACCAGUUGUGUACUGGGGUCAAUAUAAUCAACUCAUCCCCCUCCCCCAAAAUUGCUGCCCAUGUGGCAAAAUUUGAAACCAUUAUUAUUAUUAUUAUUAUU